UCCUCCCGAGUGCUUGCACUCAAUUGGAAAGAGGAGUGGCGGACGGGUGAGUAACACGUGGGUAACCUACCCAUCAGAGGGGGAUAACACUUGGAAACAGGUGCUAAUACCGCAUAACAGUUUAUGCCGCAUGGCAUAAGAGUGAAAGGCGCUUUCGGGUGUCGCUGAUGGAUGGACCCGCGGUGCAUUAGCUAGUUGGUGAGGUAACGGCUCACCAAGGCCACGAUGCAUAGCCGACCUGAGAGGGUGAUCGGCCACACUGGGACUGAGACACGGCCCAGACUCCUACGGGAGGCAGCAGUAGGGAAUCUUCGGCAAUGGACGAAAGUCUGACCGAGCAACGCCGCGUGAGUGAAGAAGGUUUUCGGAUCGUAAAACUCUGUUGUUAGAGAAGAACAAGGACGUUAGUAACUGAACGUCCCCUGACGGUAUCUAACCAGAAAGCCACGGCUAACUACGUGCCAGCAGCCGCGGUAAUACGUAGGUGGCAAGCGUUGUCCGGAUUUAUUGGGCGUAAAGCGAGCGCAGGCGGUUUCUUAAGUCUGAUGUGAAAGCCCCCGGCUCAACCGGGGAGGGUCAUUGGAAACUGGGAGACUUGAGUGCAGAAGAGGAGAGUGGAAUUCCAUGUGUAGCGGUGAAAUGCGUAGAUAUAUGGAGGAACACCAGUGGCGAAGGCGGCUCUCUGGUCUGUAA
This 693-nucleotide ribosomal RNA is filed under the name uncultured Enterococcus sp. RNAcentral's name for it is "bacterial SSU rRNA". It matches the Rfam family "Bacterial small subunit ribosomal RNA", at positions 68 to 739 of the family's 1533-position model. The record is from RNAcentral. Lineage: Bacteria; Bacillati; Bacillota; Bacilli; Lactobacillales; Enterococcaceae.